This 433-nucleotide ribosomal RNA is filed under the name uncultured bacterium. RNAcentral describes it as "partial 16S ribosomal RNA". It matches the Rfam family "Bacterial small subunit ribosomal RNA", at positions 29 to 507 of the family's 1533-position model. The record is from RNAcentral.
AACGAACGCUGGCGGCAUGCCUAACACAUGCAAGUCGAACGAGACCUUCGGGUCUAGUGGCGUACGGGUGCGUAACGCGUGGGAACCUGCCCUUAGGUUCGGAAUAACUCUCCGACAGGGGUGCUAAUACCGGAUAAUGUCUUCGGACCAAAGAUUUAUCGCCUUUGGAUGGGCCCGCGUUGGAUUAGCUAGUUGGUAGGGUAAAAGACUACCAAGGCGACGAUCAAUAGCUGGUCUGAGAGAAUGAUCAGCAACACCUGGACUGAGACACGGCCCAGACUCCUACGGGAGGCAGCAGUGGGGAAUAUUGGACAAUGGGCGAAAGCCUGAUCCAGCAAUGCCGCGUGAGUGAUGAAGGCCGUAGGGUUGUAAAGCUCUUGUACCCGGGAUGAUAAUGACAGUACCGGGAGAAUAAGCUCCGGCUAACUCCGUG